CGAGGGCAGGCGGCUAGGGUUUUUGUGGUCAGGUGUGGGGGUUCUAUUUAUACCCUUUUGCCUUUUGAUCACAGUCGUCCAUUUUGAUUAAAUCUGGGCCGUCCAUGCGCGAUUAAAUCUGGGCUGUCCGUGCACACGCUUAAUCUGGGCCGUCCGUGCGCGCGGGGAUGCAUCUGGGCCGUCCGAUCGCGCGCACGUGGAUCGCCCACGUGGCCCGUUCCUGGGUCGACGUGGUCUUGCCACGCGGCAGGUCCUGGUUGGUCAGGGCUGCUGACUGGGCCGCUGACGUGGCUGCUGACGUGGCACUGACGGGGCACAAUUUUUCUAAAUUGCGUUUUGACCCCCGGUUUCCGAUUUUCUUUUCAAAAAUACCCCCAGAAUCCUUAUUUUC
RNAcentral lists this long non-coding RNA (391 nucleotides) under Carica papaya (papaya). RNAcentral's name for it is "long non-coding RNA (CPAP_LNC006945)". The record is from RNAcentral. Lineage: Eukaryota; Viridiplantae; Streptophyta; Magnoliopsida; Brassicales; Caricaceae.